RNAcentral lists this ribosomal RNA (432 nucleotides) under Paenibacillus amylolyticus. RNAcentral's name for it is "bacterial SSU rRNA". It matches the Rfam family "Bacterial small subunit ribosomal RNA", at positions 62 to 487 of the family's 1533-position model. The record is from RNAcentral. Lineage: Bacteria; Bacillati; Bacillota; Bacilli; Caryophanales; Paenibacillaceae.
UCGAGCGGAUUGUGAGAAGUUGCUUCUCUGAUGGUUAGCGGCGGACGGGUGAGUAACACGGCGACCUGCCCUCAAGUUUGGGACAACUACCGGAAACGGAGCUAAUACCGAAUAUUGUUUUCUUCGCCUGAAGAGAACUGGAAAGACGGACAAUCUGUCACUUGGGGAUGGGCCUGCGGCGCAUUAUAGUUGGUGAGGUAACGGCUCACCAAGGCGACGAUGCGUAGCCGACCUGAGAGGGUGAUCGGCCACACUGGGACUGAACACGGCCCAGACUCCUACGGGAGGCAGCAGGGGAAUCUUCCGCAAUGGGCGAAAGCCUGACGGAGCAAUGCCGCGUGAGUGAUGAAGGUUUUCGGAUCGUAAAGCUCUGUUGCCAGGGAAGAACGCUUGGGAGAGUAACUGCUCUCAAGGUGACGGUACCUGAGAAGA